Talpa occidentalis (Iberian mole) is the source of this 617-nucleotide long non-coding RNA. RefSeq lists it as uncharacterized. The record is from RefSeq and is a predicted model, not a curated record. NCBI's taxonomy places the organism in Eukaryota, Metazoa, Chordata, Mammalia, Eulipotyphla, Talpidae. The transcript has 3 exons.
CAGUGGAGUAGGGAGAAAGGCCAAGACUGAGAUAGCUGCUAUGUAGUCACUGGGAGCUUGGAGAAGGACAUCCAGCUGAGAUAGAAAAGCCAGGGAGUAGAGAAGGCAUCCCACAGGAAACCAAGGUCUAAACCUCAAUGGCUUGUUGAAUUUCAUUCUUCCAUUGCAAGAGAACUGAAGGCAGGCUCAUAGCUGCUUAACUAGGGCCUACAUUUCCCAGAAUUCCUAGCAGCUAGUAAUGAUCAUGUGACUAAGUUGUCACAAUAAAGUGAGCAGAAAUCAUAUGGACCACUUCCAGGUCCUGACUUCAAAGCAACCUAGUGGGCCUUCUCCAUCCUGCAGGCACUUCAAUAGGGCAACAAUGGAAAAUGAACAAGCAUCAUUAAACUGAGAUGGUUGCUGAGAUCCAAUGUACCCUCAGCACCAUGCCAGAUACUACUGUGUACACACAUCGAAGAAGCAGCCACAGCAGGUUUUGGAAGAGUGCAACAUACCUGUCUGGGGACUUGACCAGCUUAACAUUCAAGAGCACGUGGAAUACACACCUCAUUCCUCAUUUAUCCCACAGCUUCAUUGAACAGUCCCCACUAAGUAUGUGCCAGUAAAGGUUUGCUUUA